CUUUGGUGGCGACCGGCGCACGGGUGCGUAACGCGUAUGUAACCUACCUAUAACAGGGGCAUAACACUGAGAAAUUGGUACUAAUUCCCCAUAAUAUUCGGAGAGGCAUCUCUCCGGGUUGAAAACUCCGGUGGUUAUAGAUGGACAUGCGUUGUAUUAGCUAGUUGGUGAGGUAACGGCUCACCAAGGCAACGAUACGUAGGGGGACUGAGAGGUUAACCCCCCACACUGGUACUGAGACACGGACCAGACUCCUACGGGAGGCAGCAUG
RNAcentral lists this ribosomal RNA (271 nucleotides) under uncultured bacterium. Its description in RNAcentral is "partial 16S ribosomal RNA". It matches the Rfam family "Bacterial small subunit ribosomal RNA", at positions 83 to 353 of the family's 1533-position model. The record is from RNAcentral.